RNAcentral lists this ribosomal RNA (444 nucleotides) under uncultured Acidimicrobiales bacterium. RNAcentral's name for it is "bacterial SSU rRNA". It matches the Rfam family "Bacterial small subunit ribosomal RNA", at positions 335 to 796 of the family's 1533-position model. Lineage: Bacteria; Bacillati; Actinomycetota; Acidimicrobiia; Acidimicrobiales. The record is from RNAcentral.
UGCCUACGGGCGGCUGCAGUGGGGAAUCUUGCGCAAUGGGCGAAAGCCUGACGCAGCAACGCCGCGUGCGGGAUGAAGGCCCUCGGGUUGUAAACCGCUUUCAGCAGGGAUGAAGAUGACGGUACCUGCAGAAGAAGCCCCGGCCAACUACGUGCCAGCAGCCGCGGUAACACGUAGGGGGCGAGCGUUGUCCGGGUUUAUUGGGCGUAAAGAGCUCGUAGGCGGUUCCGUCAGUCGGGUGUGAAAACUCUGGGCCCAACCCAGAGACGCCACCCGAUACUGCGGUGACUAGAGUCCGGUAGGGGAGUGCGGAAUUCCUGGUGUAGCGGUGAAAUGCGCAGAUAUCAGGAGGAACACCAACGGCGAAGGCAGCACUCUGGGCCGGUACUGACGCUGAGGAGCGAAAGCGUGGGGAGCGAACAGGAUUAGAUACCCCUGUAGUCG